AGGCUUGGGCGGGGCAGCCAGGCGGUAUUUUAACAGUCGUCCUGGCCGCCUUGCUGUGUGGUGAUCUGGACCGUGCAGACUAGCUCUUUCUUCAGCACUCCUGUUCGGCGUCUCUUUUCUCCAGGAGGAAAAAUGGCAGCAGCAGCAGUGGAUCCGCAACAGAGCGUGGUGAUGAGAGUGGCCAACCUGCCCCUGGUGAGCUCUACCUACGACCUUGUGUCCUCCGCUUAUGUCAGUACAAAGGAUCAGUACCCGUAUUUGAGAUCCGUGUGUGAGAUGGCAGAGAAGGGCGUGAAGACCGUGACCUCUGCGGCUAUGACAAGUGCCCUGCCCAUCAUCCAGAAGCUGGAGCCACAAAUUGCGGUUGCCAAUACCUAUGCCUGCAAGGGGCUAGACAGGAUGGAGGAAAGACUGCCUAUUCUGAACCAGCCAACGUCCGAGAUUGUUGCCAAUGCCAGAGGUGCCAUAACUGGGGCGAAGGAUGUGGUGACGACUACCAUGGCUGGAGCCAAGGAUUCUGUAGCCAGCACAGUCUCAGGGGUGGUGGAUAAGACCAAAGGAGCAGUUACUGGCAGCGUGGAAAGGACCAAGUCUGUUGUCAAUGGCAGCAUCAAUACAGUUUUGGGGAUGGUGCAGUUCAUGAACAGUGGAGUGGAUAAUGCAAUCACCAAGUCGGAGAUGCUGGUAGACCAGUACUUCCCCCUCACUCAGGAGGAGCUGGAGAUGGAAGCAAAAAAGGUGGAAGGAUUUGAUAUGGUUCAGAAGCCGAGCAACUAUGAACGGCUGGAGUCCCUGUCCACCAAGCUCUGCUCUCGGGCUUAUCACCAGGCUCUCAGCAGGGUUAAAGAGGCCAAACAAAAGAGCCAGGAGACCAUUUCUCAGCUCCACUCUACUGUCCACCUGAUUGAAUUCGCCAGGAAGAAUAUGCACAGUGCCAACCAGAAAAUUCAGGGUGCUCAGGAUAAGCUCUAUGUCUCAUGGGUGGAGUGGAAGAGAAGCGUCGGCUAUGACGACACCGAUGAGUCCCACUGUGUUGAGCACAUUGAGUCACGUACUCUGGCUAUCGCCCGCAACCUGACCCAGCAGCUCCAGACUACAUGCCAGACUGUCCUGGUCAAUGCCCAAGGGUUACCACAGAACAUUCAAGAUCAGGCCAAACACUUGGGGGUGAUGGCAGGCGACAUCUACUCCGUGUUCCGCAAUGCUGCCUCCUUUAAGGAAGUGUCCGAUGGCGUCCUCACAUCUAGCAAGGGGCAGCUGCAGAAAAUGAAGGAAUCCUUAGAUGAAGUUAUGGAUUACUUUGUUAACAACACGCCUCUCAACUGGCUGACGUUUGAUUUCCUUGCUGAUGACUCGACAUCUGACAUGGAUGAAGUUCCUGAUAUUAUUCCGUUGGAAGUGGAUGAUUGAACCCAAUGACCACACACUCCCAGCCUUGUCCUCUUAAGGCAAAAGACCACCCAACUAACACAAGGAAAGACUCUAUUUUAUUGAAAAUUGUCUCUUUUCUCCAGGAGGAAAAAUGGCAGCAGCAGCAGUGGAUCCACAACAGAUUGUUGCCAAUGCCAGAGGUGCCGUAACUGGGGCGAAGGAUGUGGUGACAACUACCAUGGCUGGAACCAGGGAUUCUGUAGCCAGCACAGUCUCAGGGGUGGUGGAUAAGACCAAAGGAGCAGUUACUGGCAGCGUGGAAAGGACCAAGUCUGUGGUUAAUGGCAGCAUCAAUACAGUUUUAGGAAUGGUGCGGCUUGUGAACAGUCGAAUAGAUAAUGCAAUCACCAAGUUGGAGCUGCUGGUAGACCAGUACUUCCCCCUCACUCAGGAGGAGUUGGAGAUGGAAGCAAAAAUGGCAGAAGGACCUGAUAAGGUCCAGAAGCCGAGAUACUGUGAGCGUCUGGAGUCCCUGGCCGCCAAGCUCUGCUUGAGGGCCUAUCAUCAGGCUCUCAGCAGGGUUAAAGAGGUCACACAGGUCAGGGGACCUUUACUCAGCCGCAGAAAAUGAAGGGAUCCUUAGAUGAAGUUAUGGAUUUCUUUGUUAACAACACGCCUCUCAACUGGCUGGUAGGUCCCUUUUAUCCUCAGUCUACCGAGGUGGACAAGGCCAGCCUGAGGGUCCAGCAGUCUGAGGUCAAAGCUCAGUAAACCCCUCCUUGUCACUAGUGCAUGGUGUUUCUAGCCAGGUGACCCCUUUUGCUGUAUUGAAAUUAACCUGGUAGAUGGCUUUAGCUUAGAAAAGCAGCUUCUUAGAACUAAGGGCCUCUUAUGGUCACUCACAGCUCAGUUAUGGUCUUGCCCCAGCUGGCCUUGGCACAGGAGUUCUUUUACCUGGCUGGUGAGUGGUGUGUGUUAGUCUUGUGAGGACCUCUCGGAACCUAAAAGCUCAGGUACACUUACAGUCUUGUCUGUGGCCUUUGUAUUGUUAUUGGCUGUAAACGUCUGUCUGGACUGAAUAAAGAUUCAUUCAUGUG
Mus caroli (Ryukyu mouse) is the source of this 2468-nucleotide non-coding RNA. The record is from RefSeq and is a predicted model, not a curated record. NCBI's taxonomy places the organism in Eukaryota, Metazoa, Chordata, Mammalia, Rodentia, Muridae.